Molecule: ribosomal RNA, 432 nt
Filed under: uncultured bacterium
Lineage: Bacteria
Description: partial 16S ribosomal RNA
Rfam family: Bacterial small subunit ribosomal RNA
Source: RNAcentral
AACGAACGCUGGCGGCAUGCCUAACACAUGCAAGUCGAACGAGACCUUCGGGUCUAGUGGCGCACGGGUGCGUAACGCGUGGGAACCUGCCCUUAGGUUCGGAAUAACUCCCCGAAAGGGGUGCUAAUACCGGAUAAUGUCUUCGGACCAAAGAUUUAUCGCCUUUGGUUGGGCCCGCGUUGGAUUAGCUAGUUGGUAGGGUAAAAGCCUACCAAGGCGACGAUCCAUAGCUGGUCUGAGAGGAUGAUCAGCCACACUGGGACUGAGACACGGCCCAGACUCCUACGGGAGGCAGCAGUGGGGAAUAUUGGACAAUGGGCGAAAGCCUGAUCCAGCAAUGCCGCGUGAGUGAUGAAGGCCUUAGGGUUGUAAAGCUCUUUUACCCGGGAUGAUAAUGACAGUACCGGGAGAAUAAGCUCCGGCUAACUCCGU